RNAcentral lists this ribosomal RNA (693 nucleotides) under uncultured bacterium. Its description in RNAcentral is "bacterial SSU rRNA". It matches the Rfam family "Bacterial small subunit ribosomal RNA", at positions 104 to 795 of the family's 1533-position model. The record is from RNAcentral.
GGGUGAGUAACGCGUAUCCAACCUGCCCACCACUUGGGGAUAACCUUGCGAAAGUAAGACUAAUACCCAAUGAUAUCUCUAGAAGACAUCUGAAAGAGAUUAAAGAUUUAUCGGUGAUGGAUGGGGAUGCGUCUGAUUAGCUUGUUGGCGGGGUAACGGCCCACCAAGGCGACGAUCAGUAGGGGUUCUGAGAGGAAGGUCCCCCACAUUGGAACUGAGACACGGUCCAAACUCCUACGGGAGGCAGCAGUGAGAAAUAUUGGUCAAUGGGCGAGAGCCUGAACCAGCCAAGUAGCGUGCAGGAUGACGGCCCUAUGGGUUGUAAACUGCUUUUAUAAGGGAAUAAAGUGAGUCUCGUGGGACUUUUUGCAUGUACCUUAUGAAUAAGGACCGGCUAAUUCCGUGCCAGCAGCCGCGGUAAUACGGAAGGUCCGGGCGUUAUCCGGAUUUAUUGGGUUUAAAGGGAGCGUAGGCCGGAGAUUAAGCGUGUUGUGAAAUGUAGAUGCUCAACAUCUGAACUGCAGCGCGAACUGGUUUCCUUGAGUACGCACAAAGUGGGCGGAAUUCGUGGUGUAGCGGUGAAAUGCUUAGAUAUCACGAAGAACUCCGAUUGCGAAGGCAGCUCACUGGAGCGCAACUGACGCUGAAGCUCGAAAGUGCGGGUAUCGAACAGGAUUAGAUACCCUGGUAGUC